GCAUUAAUCCCCCCAGGGGAACCUGGCUCUUAAUUCGAUGAUCCACGAACCUCUUACCUUUCCUAGUUUUCAGGCGGCCUUUUUUUGGAAAAAGGAGUCUGAUUGUCAGUUUGCAUACCGCCGUUUCGUAGCUUGUAUCGUGAGAGGAAAUAAACAGGUGGAUCAGUAGCUUGAAAUCUAGCGUGCUAAUAAUUCAGGUAAACGUGCAGCCAACGGAAAGGGGGUGCUGGGUUACAAUUGGGGUUUGUAAUGGCGUGGCUACCUUAAGGGUAAGGCAAAAGAGUACUUGGAAGUAAUGGCCUUGGGCAAUGAGGCUGUGAAUAGUGCUCUAGUGUGUGU
Molecule: ribosomal RNA, 339 nt
Filed under: Lottia gigantea (owl limpet)
Lineage: Eukaryota; Metazoa; Mollusca; Gastropoda; Lottiidae
Description: partial 12S ribosomal RNA
Source: RNAcentral